GUGGGGAAUUUUGGACAAUGGGCGCAAGCCUGAUCCAGCCAUUCCGCGUGAGUGAAGAAGGCCUUCGGGUUGUAAAGCUCUUUCGCAAGGGAAGAAACGUUACCGGUGAAUAUCCGGUGAUAAUGACGGUACCUUGAUAAGAAGCACCGGCUAACUACGUGCCAGCAGCCGCGGUAAUACGUAGGGUGCGAGCGUUAAUCGGAAUUACUGGGCGUAAAGCGUGCGCAGGCGGUUUUGUAAGUCAGAUGUGAAAUCCCCGAGCUCAACUUGGGAACUGCGUUUGAAACUACAAGACUAGAAUAGGUCAGAGGGGGGUAGAAUUCCACGUGUAGCAGUGAAAUGCGUAGAGAUGUGGAGGAAUAUCAAUGGCGAAGGCAGCCCCCUGGGAUCAUAUUGACGCUCAUGCACGAAAGCGUGGGGAGCAAACAGGAUUAGAAACCCCAGUAGUCC
Molecule: ribosomal RNA, 450 nt
Filed under: uncultured bacterium
Lineage: Bacteria
Description: bacterial SSU rRNA
Rfam family: Bacterial small subunit ribosomal RNA
Source: RNAcentral